RNAcentral lists this ribosomal RNA (216 nucleotides) under uncultured bacterium. RNAcentral's name for it is "partial 16S ribosomal RNA". It matches the Rfam family "Bacterial small subunit ribosomal RNA", at positions 57 to 305 of the family's 1533-position model. The record is from RNAcentral.
GCAAGUCGAAUGAAUUUAGAUUCAUGGCAGACGAGGUAGGAACACGUGGGUACGUGCCCUAGAGUCAAGGAUACACCGGUGAAAAUCGGCAUAAUACUUGAUAGUCCCUUCGGGGUAAAGAUUUAUCGCUCUAGGAACGGCCCGCGGUCUAUCAGCUUGUUGGUAAGGUAACGGCUUACCAAGGCUACGACGGAUAGGGGAGGUGAGAGCCUGACC